GACGAACGCUGGCGGCGUGCUUAACACAUGCAAGUCGAACGGAAAGGCCCUGCUCUUGUGGGGUGCUCGAGUGGCGAACGGGUGAGUAACACGUGAGUAACCUGCCCCUGACUUUGGGAUAACUUCAGGAAACUGGGGCUAAUACCGGAUAGGAGCUCCUGCUGCAUGGUGGGGGUUGGAAAGUUUCGGCGGUUGGGGAUGGACUCGCGGCUUAUCAGCUUGUUGGUGGGGUAGUGGCUUACCAAGGCUUUGACGGGUAGCCGGCCUGAGAGGGUGACCGGCCACAUGGGGACUGAGAGACGGCCCAGACUCCUACGGGAGGCAGCAGGGGGGAAUAUGGCACAAUGGGCGGAAGCGUGAUGCAGCAACGCCGCGUGCGGGAUGACGGCCUUCGAGGUGUAAACCGCUUUCGCCUGUGACGAAGCGUGAGUGACGGUAAUGGGUAAAGAAGCACCGGCUAACUACGUG
This 468-nucleotide ribosomal RNA is filed under the name uncultured bacterium. RNAcentral's name for it is "partial 16S ribosomal RNA". It matches the Rfam family "Bacterial small subunit ribosomal RNA", at positions 28 to 507 of the family's 1533-position model. The record is from RNAcentral.